UGGGGAAUAUUGGACAAUGGGCGAAAGCCUGAUCCAGUCAUGCCGCGUGUGUGAUGAAGGCCUUAGGGUUGUAAAGCACUGUCGGGAGGGAAGAAAGCUUCGGCUUGACGGUACCUCGCAAGAAAGCACCGGCUAACUCCGUGCCAGCAGCCGCGGUAAUACGGGGGGUGCAAGCGUUGCUCGGAAUCACUGGGCGUAAAGCGUACGCAGGCGGCCUAUUAAGUCGGAUGUGAAAGCCCUGGGCUCAACCCGGGAAUUGCAUUCGAAACUGGUAGGCUUGAGUGUGAGAGAGGGAAGUGGAAUUCCAGGUGUAGAGGUGAAAUUCGUUGAUAUCUGGAGGAACACCGGCGGCGAAGGCGGCUUCCUGGCUCACAACUGACGCUCAUGUACGAAAGCGUGGGUAGCAAACAGG
This 412-nucleotide ribosomal RNA is filed under the name uncultured bacterium. RNAcentral describes it as "bacterial SSU rRNA". It matches the Rfam family "Bacterial small subunit ribosomal RNA", at positions 355 to 776 of the family's 1533-position model. The record is from RNAcentral.